UACGGAGGGUGCAAGCGUUAAUCGGAAUUACUGGGCGUAAAGCGCACGCAGGCGGUUUGUUAAGUCAGAUGUGAAAUCCCCGGGCUGAACCUGGGAAAUGCAUCUGAUACUGGUCAGCUUGAGUCUUGUAGAGGGGGGUAGAAUUCCAGGUGUAGCGGUGAAAUGCGUAGAGAUGUGGAGGAAUACCGGUGGCGAAGGCGGCCCCCUGGACAAAGACUGACGCUCAGGUGCGAGAGCGUGGGGAGCAAACAGG
RNAcentral lists this ribosomal RNA (253 nucleotides) under uncultured bacterium. Its description in RNAcentral is "partial 16S ribosomal RNA". It matches the Rfam family "Bacterial small subunit ribosomal RNA", at positions 524 to 776 of the family's 1533-position model. The record is from RNAcentral.